UUCCUGAAGACUGGUUCUUUCCUAGUCCCAGAGGGCAGGACGGAGAGAUCAGGUUGGAACUCAAUGCAUCAACUCUGGAUGAUGCCACCUAUGGAAACAUCGGAUACAUCGCCUUUGCCACUGAAUCCUUGUCCAUUACAUAUAUUUUCAAAUUCACCAAAUCUGACGAUGGAACUAUUGCAGUGGAGUUGAUCAAGUUGCCUGAAAGUGAAAGUGUAGGUGGAUGUACACUGGGUAAUUCGGGAUCAGACAUACUGGUACUUUUCUUCAAGUUUGGUGAGGAGAGUGUCACAUUGUCCAGAGAUACCCUUGACAACGAGGUUCUAAAUCAUGCCAGUACUGGUCAAGCUGCCAACAGUGAUGCCAAUCUGGCCAUUGUGAAUUUUACCAUCGCCAGCAGCGGAGAUGGAACCGGUGGAGGUGAAACCGGAGACCAUGAAGGAGAUGGAACCGGUGGUGGUGGAACCGGUGGAGGUGAAACCGGUGGAAGUGAUACCGGAGACAAUGAAGGAGAUGGGACCGGGGGUUACGUAGAUGACAAUCAUGAUGACAAUGGUGAUACUGGGAAUGCAUUUUAAAUGACCCAUGGUCAACUAAAAGCUUCAAAUAAUAUUACAGAAUUUUCUGUAUUUAUCAGUAAUUAUCUUAGAUUAUUCUGCUGGUGAAGGGUUGAUAAAAGUAAAACUACACGCAAACCUCUAUGUUGAACAAUAAACUGUUACACUUACUGUAAUUACCUUUAAAUUAAUACUGAAUAAUCCCCCUGAUUAAUGAAAGUACUGUAAGGUAAUCAUGAUUGAUUUCGUGUGGUGGUAGGGUCUAUCAAUUCAAUUGGACUUAGUAAAAUAAGUCACUAUUGCCUUCUCUCAUGAAAUCAAUCCAGUAAAAAUAAUCUUAUUUAAGCAGAUCAUACAAAUCAAAAGGGUAAGUUAAUGGAAUCAAUGUGAAUAGAAACAAGGGUGAAAUAAUAGCUGGGGAAAAAAGAGGAACCAAUAUUACCAUUACAUUUACAUGUAGGCCUACAAUGUGCUGCACUCAAACCAGGUGAGGUAAAUGGGUACCGGUAGGAAGUAAUUCCUUAAGAAGCUGUGUGCGCUAUAUGAACGCCAAGCUUAGCCGGGUAUUAUAGAAGCGCCUUGAGCACCUAACAAGGUGGAUAUGUGCGCAAUAUGAAUAUCCUAUAUUAUUAUUACUAUUAUUAUAUUGCAAUCGAUAUCAAUUAAGAAGUGGCAGCAUGUUGAAAACAAAGCUCAGAUUCUCCAAUGUUUACACCAAAUAACGAUUCCUAACAUUUUAGGCACGCGCUUACUACUAUAUGUUGGCUUGGAGUGAAUCUGUGUAAUGUCAUAAUAGUCUCAUGCUUCAUUAUUUGUCCCUCUGAUGUUAACCUAAUAAACUAUCCCAAAAUAA
Molecule: long non-coding RNA, 1410 nt
Organism: Lytechinus variegatus (green sea urchin)
Lineage: Eukaryota; Metazoa; Echinodermata; Echinoidea; Temnopleuroida; Toxopneustidae
Exons: 3
Source: RefSeq, a predicted model, not a curated record